Molecule: ribosomal RNA, 478 nt
Filed under: uncultured bacterium
Lineage: Bacteria
Description: partial 16S ribosomal RNA
Rfam family: Bacterial small subunit ribosomal RNA
Source: RNAcentral
GACGAACGCUGGCGGCGUGCUUAACACAUGCAAGUCGGACGGUAAGGCCCUUCGGGGUACACGAGUGGCGAACGGGUGAGUAACACGUGGGUGAUCUGCCCUGCACUUCGGGAUAAGCCUGGGAAACUGGGUCUAAUACCGGAUAGGACCCUGGGAUGCAUGUCCUGGGGUGGAAAGCUUUUGCGGUGUGGGAUGGGCCCGCGGCCUAUCAGCUUGUUGGUGGGGUGAUGGCCUACCAAGGCGACGACGGGUAGCCGGCCUGAGAGGGUGACCGGCCACACUGGGACUGAGAUACGGCCCAGACUCCUACGGGAGACAGCAGUGGGGAAUAUUGCACAAUGGGCGCAAGCCUGAUGCAGCGACGCCGCGUGAGGGAUGACGGCCUUCGGGUUGUAAACCUCUUUCAGCACCGACGAAGCGCAAGUGACGGUAGGUGCAGAAGAAGGACCGGCCAACUACGUGCCAGCAGCCGCAGUAA